This 223-nucleotide ribosomal RNA is filed under the name uncultured bacterium. RNAcentral's name for it is "partial 16S ribosomal RNA". It matches the Rfam family "Bacterial small subunit ribosomal RNA", at positions 28 to 240 of the family's 1533-position model. The record is from RNAcentral.
GAUGAACGCUGGCGGCGUGCCUAAUACAUGCAAGCCGAGCGAACGGACGAGAAGCUUGCUUCUCUGAUGUUAGCGGCGGACGGGUGAGUAACACGUGGAUAACCUACUUAUAAGACUGGGAUAACUUCGGGAAACCGGAGCUAAUACCGGAUAAUAUUUUGAACCGCAUGGUUCAAAAGUGAAAGACGGUCUUGCUGUCACUUAUAGAUGGAUCCGCGCUGCA